This 253-nucleotide ribosomal RNA is filed under the name uncultured bacterium. RNAcentral describes it as "partial 16S ribosomal RNA". It matches the Rfam family "Bacterial small subunit ribosomal RNA", at positions 524 to 776 of the family's 1533-position model. The record is from RNAcentral.
UACAGAGGUCUCAAGCGUUGUUCGGAUUCAUUGGGCGUAAAGGGUGCGUAGGUGGCGUCGUAAGUCAGGUGUGAAAUCUCGGGGCUUAACUCCGAAACUGCAUUUGAUACUGCGGUGCUUGAGGACUGGAGAGGAGACUGGAAUUUACGGUGUAGCAGUGAAAUGCGUAGAGAUCGUAAGGAAGACCAGUGGCGAAGGCGAAUCUCUGGACAGUUACUGACACUGAGGCACGAAGGCCAGGGGAGCGAACAGG